CCUACGGGUGGCAGCAGUGAGGAAUAUUGGUCAAUGGGCGCAAGCCUGAACCAGCCAAGUCGCGUGAGGGAUGACGGUCCUAUGGAUUGUAAACCUCUUUUGUCGGGGAGCAAGGCCCGCCACGUGUGGCGCGCAGGAGAGUACCCGAAGACAAAGCAUCGGCUAACUCCGUACCAGCAGCCGCGGUAAUACGGAGGAUGCGAGCGUUAUCCGGAUUUAUUGGGUUUAAAGGGUGCGUAGGCGGAAGGUUAAGUCAGCGGUAAAAUGUCGGUGCUCAACACCGGCCUGCCGUUGAAACUGGUCUUCUUGAGUGAGCGAGAAGUAUGCGGAAUGCGUGGUGUAGCGGUGAAAUGCAUAGAUAUCACGCAGAACUCCGAUUGCGAAGGCAGCAUACCGGCGCUCAACUGACGCUGAGGCACGAAAGCGUGGGGAUCGAACAGGAUUAGAUACCCUUGUAGUC
Molecule: ribosomal RNA, 460 nt
Filed under: uncultured bacterium
Lineage: Bacteria
Description: partial 16S ribosomal RNA
Rfam family: Bacterial small subunit ribosomal RNA
Source: RNAcentral